AUGCAAGUCCAAAAAACAUUUGUCUCAGCAUAUUUGUGGUACAAUAAAAAGCAACAAAACAUCAUAGCUCAGCAAAAUCAAGGACAAAAUCAAGCUACUGCAGUAACAGAUUCUCACAGAAAAUCAACAAGUGCAAACAAAAUCAUGAAUUCAAGCUCAAUAAAAAGAAUUGUUACCAAAUCAAAAAAUAUCACUGAAAAGGAGCUAUCAAGCAUACGAAAUCCUAACAGGUCAUCAUCAUCUUCCUGCUCAAAGUCCCUUCAGAAUACAGAGAAAGAGAAGAGGAAAAGAAGCUUUCAAAAAGUUAGAAUAAGAAAGAUUUUACUGGGAAGAGCCUCAUCCAUUGGUGUUAUGUCGCGAGCUUGA
Molecule: non-coding RNA, 366 nt
Organism: Vicia faba (fava bean)
Lineage: Eukaryota; Viridiplantae; Streptophyta; Magnoliopsida; Fabales; Fabaceae
Source: the annotation of a GenBank genome assembly